GAAACUAAACAGGAUUCCCUUAGUAAUGGCGAAUGAACAGGGAUGAGCUCAGCAUGGAAAUCGGGGUCUCCCGACCUUGAAUUGUAGUCUGUAGAUGUACUGCCAACGGAGGCGCAGAUGUAAGCCUCUUGGAAAAGAGCAUCAACGAGGGUGAGAGUCCCGUUUGUCAUCUGCAGUCCCCCGUGCACGGUGUGCCUUCUAAGAGUCACGUUCCUCGGGAUUGGAGCGCAAAGUGGGUGGUAAAUUUCAUCUAAAGCUAAAUAUUGGUUCGAGACCGAUAGCAAACAAGUACCAUGAGGGAAAGGUGAAAAGGACUUUGAAAAGAGAGUUAAAAGUGCCUGAAAUUGCUGAAAGGGAAGCGAAUGGAACCAGUGUUCUUGAUGAGAUUGUUGCGUACUCUGGUGAUUGCUGGGUGUUCCACCGCAAGGGGGGCAUCUAGUUUUGAGCUAGAUGUGCGUGGUGUUUCUUGUCUUGUGUGUCACCGUCGGUGCACGAGCGAGUAAACCUCCAGGGGGCUGGUAACUCGACCACGGUUGAGUGAAUACCUUUGGCAGUACUCAUUUGUGUAUCGAUCCCUGCGUGUCUGGUUGCAGUGUUUGGGUCGCCUGGAAACUCCUGAAGGGCUUGUCCUCGAAGGAGUCCUUUUGGGCGCCCUGAGCAUCUCCCUGACACAAAGACGA
Molecule: ribosomal RNA, 680 nt
Filed under: Azadinium spinosum
Lineage: Eukaryota; Dinophyceae; Gonyaulacales; Amphidomataceae
Description: partial large subunit ribosomal RNA
Rfam family: Eukaryotic large subunit ribosomal RNA
Source: RNAcentral